UGGGGUGACUGCGUACCUUUUGUAUAAUGGGUCAGCGACUUGUAUUCUGUAGCAAGGUUAACCGUAUAGGGGAGCCGUAGGGAAACCGAGUCUUAACCGGGCGCUAAGUUGCAGGGUACAGACCCGAAACCCGGUGAUCUAGCCAUGGGCAGGUUGAAGGUUGGGUAACACUAACUGGAGGACCGAACCGACUAAUGUUGAAAAAUUAGCGGAUGACCUGUGGCUGGGGGUGAAAGGCCAAUCAAACCGGGAGAUAGCUGGUUCUCCCCGAAAGCUAUUUAGGUAGCGCCUCGUGAACUCAUCUCCGGGGGUAGAGCACUGUUUCGGCUAGGGGGCCAUCCCGGCUUACCAACCCGAUGCAAACUGCGAAUACCGGAGAAUGUUAUCACGGGAGACACACGGCGGGUGCUAACGUCCGUCGUGAAGAGGGAAACAACCCAGACCGCCAGCUAAGGUCCCGAAGUCAUGGUUAAGUGGGAAACGAUGUGGGAAGGCCCAGACAGCCAGGAUGUUGGCUUAGAAGCAGCCAUCAUUUAAAGAAAGCGUAAUAGCUCACUGGUCGAGUCGGCCUGCGCGGAAGAUGUAACGGGGCUAAACCAUGCACCGAAGCUGCGGCAGCGGCACGCAAGUGCCGUUGGGUAGGGGAGCGUUCUGUAAGCCGUCGAAGGUGGCCUGUGAGGGCUGCUGGAGGUAUCAGAAGUGCGAAUGCUGACAUAAGUAACGAUAAAGCGGGUGAAAAGCCCGCUCGCCGGAAGACCAAGGGUUCCUGUCCAACGUUAAUCGGGGCAGGGUGAGUCGACCCCUAAGGCGAGGCCGAAAGGCGUAGUCGAUGGGAAACGGGUUAAUAUUCCCGUACUUGGUGUUACUGCGAAGGGGGGACGGAGAAGGCUAUGUCAUCCGGGCGACGGUUGUCCCGGUUUAAGCGUGCAGGUGUGUGCUCCAGGCAAAUCCGGAGCGCUUUAACACUGAGGCGUGAUGACGAGGCGCUACGGCGCUGAAGUGACAAAUGCCCUGCUUCCAGGAAAAGCCUCUAAGCUCCAGGUAACACGAAAUCGUACCCGAAACCGACACAGGUGGUCAGGUAGAGAAUACCAAGGCGCUUGAGAGAACCCGGGUGAAGGAACUAGGCAAAAUGGUGCCGUAACUUCGGGAGAAGGCACGCUGGCGCGUAGGUGGAGGGACUCGCUCCCCGAGCCGAAGCCAGUCGCAGAUACCAGCUGGCUGCAACUGUUUAUUAAAAACACAGCACUGUGCAAACACGAAAGUGGACGUAUACGGUGUGACGCCUGCCCGGUGCCGGAAGGUUAAUUGAUGGGGUUAUCGCAAGAGAAGCUCCUGAUCGAAGCCCCGGUAAACGGCGGCCGUAACUAUAACGGUCCUAAGGUAGCGAAAUUCCUUGUCGGGUAAGUUCCGACCUGCACGAAUGGCGUAAUGAUGGCCAGGCUGUCUCCACCCGGGACUCAGUGAAAUUGAACUCGCUGUGAAGAUGCAGUGUACCCGCGGCAAGACGGAAAGACCCCGUGAACCUUUACUACAGCUUGACACUGAACAUUGAGCCUUGAUGUGCAGGAUAGGUGGGAGGCUAUGAAGCGUGGACGCCAGUCUGCGCGGAGCCAACCUUGAAAUACCACCCUUUAAUGUUUGAUGUUCUAACCUUGCGCCGUGAUCCGGCGCGGGGACAGUGUCUGGUGGGUAGUUUGACUGGGGCGGUCUCCUCCCAAAGCGUAACGGAGGAGCACGAAGAUGGGCUAAUCACGGUCGGACAUCGUGAGGUUAGUGCAAAGGCAUAAGCCCGUUUGACUGCGAGAGUGACGGCUCGAGCAGGUGCGAAAGCAGGUCUUAGUGAUCCGGUGGUUCUGAAUGGAAGGGCCAUCGCUCAACGGAUAAAAGGUACUCCGGGGAUAACAGGCUGAUACCGCCCAAGAGUUCAUAUCGACGGCGGUGUUUGGCACCUCGAUGUCGGCUCAUCACAUCCUGGGGCUGCAGCAGGUCCCAAGGGUAUGGCUGUUCGCCAUUUAAAGUGGUACGCGAGCUGGGUUUAGAACGUCGUGAGACAGUUCGGUCCCUAUCUGCCGUGGGCGCUGGAGAACUGAGGGGGGCUGCUCCUAGUACGAGAGGACCGGAGUGGACGCACCACUGGUGUACGGGUUGUCAUGCCAAUGGCACUGCCCGGUAGCUAAGUGCGGAAGAGAUAAGUGCUGAAAGCAUCUAAGCACGAAACUUGCCCCGAGAUGAGUUCUCCCUGACUCCUUGAGAGUCCUGAAGGGACGUUGAAGACGACGACGUUGAUAGGCCGGAUGUGUAAGCGCAGCGAUGCGUUGAGCUGACCGGUACUAAUGACCCGUGAGGCUUAACCUUACAACGCCAGAGGCGUUCUG
This 2378-nucleotide ribosomal RNA is filed under the name Izhakiella australiensis. Its description in RNAcentral is "bacterial LSU rRNA". It matches the Rfam family "Bacterial large subunit ribosomal RNA", at positions 589 to 2925 of the family's 2925-position model. The record is from RNAcentral. Lineage: Bacteria; Pseudomonadati; Pseudomonadota; Gammaproteobacteria; Enterobacterales; Erwiniaceae.